This 492-nucleotide ribosomal RNA is filed under the name uncultured bacterium. RNAcentral describes it as "partial 16S ribosomal RNA". It matches the Rfam family "Bacterial small subunit ribosomal RNA", at positions 29 to 507 of the family's 1533-position model. The record is from RNAcentral.
AGUGAACGCUGGCGGUAGGCCUAACACAUGCAAGUCGAACGGCAGCACAGUAAGUGCUUGCUCUUACGGGUGGCGAGUGGCGGACGGGUGAGGUAUACAUCGGAAUCUACUUUUUCGUGGGGGCUAACGUAGGGAAACUUACGCUAAUACCGCAUACGACCUAAGGGUGAAAGCAGGGGAUCUUCGGACCUUGCGCGAUUGAAUGAGCCGAUGUCGGAUUGGCUAGUUGGCGGGGUAAAGGCCCACCAAGGCGACGAUCCGUAGCUGGUCUGAGAGGAGGAUCAGCCCCACUGGACCGGAGACACGGUCCAGACUCCUACGGGAGGAACCAGUGGGGAAUAUUGGACAAUGGGCGCAAGCCGGAUCCAGCCAGACCGCGUGGGGGAGGAAGGCCUUCGGGUUGUAAAGACCUUUUGUUGGGAAAGAAAAGCAGCAGGUUAAUACCCCGCUGUUCUGACGGUACCCAAAGAAUAAGCACCGGCUAACUUCGUG